CGUGGGUAACCUGCCUCAUACAGGGGGAUAACAGUUAGAAAUGACUGCUAAUACCGCAUAAGACCACGGAGCCGCAUGGCUCAGUGGGAAAAACUCCGGUGGUAUGAGAUGGACCCGCGUCUGAUUAGGUAGUUGGUGGGGUAACGGCCUACCAAGCCAACGAUCAGUAGCCGACCUGAGAGGGUGACCGGCCACAUUGGGACUGAGACACGGCCCAAACUCCUACGGGAGGCAGCAGUGGGGAAUAUUGCACAAUGGGGGAAACCCUGAUGCAGCGACGCCGCGUGAGCGAAGAAGUAUUUCGGUAUGUAAAGCUCUAUCAGCAGGGAAGAAAAUGACGGUACCUGACUAAGAAGCACCGGCUAAAUACGUGCCAGCAGCCGCGGUAAUACGUAUGGUGCAAGCGUUAUCCGGAUUUACUGGGUGUAAAGGGAGCGUAGACGGCUGUGUAAGUCUGAAGUGAAAGCCCGGGGCUCAACCCCGGGACUGCUUUGGAAACUAUGCAGCUAGAGUGUCGGAGAGGUAAGUGGAAUUCCCAGUGUAGCGGUGAAAUGCGUAGAUAUUGGGAGGAACACCAGUGGCGAAGGCGGCUUACUGGACGAUGACUGACGUUGAGGCUCGAAAGCGUGGGGAGCAAACAGGAUUAGAUACCCUGGUAGUCCACGCCGUAAACGAUGACUCUAGGUGUCGGGGAGCAAA
Molecule: ribosomal RNA, 699 nt
Filed under: uncultured bacterium
Lineage: Bacteria
Description: bacterial SSU rRNA
Rfam family: Bacterial small subunit ribosomal RNA
Source: RNAcentral